Molecule: long non-coding RNA, 348 nt
Organism: Armigeres subalbatus
Lineage: Eukaryota; Metazoa; Arthropoda; Insecta; Diptera; Culicidae
Exons: 3
Source: RefSeq, a predicted model, not a curated record
CAAACAUCGAAUGAGCUUCUUUGUACAUUUUCAGAUAAAGCAAUUGAAGAAUACCGUCAAACAAAUACUUGGAUAUGUUACCACGAGGACGAGUGGAAUUUGGUUCAAGAGAAAUAGCAAAUAUAUUAACAAUAUGGUUCACUUCGAGCUUUUUCAUACAACGAAAUGGCGAACCAUUUGCCGCAAAUCUCAUGGCGACGAUAGGGACAGUCAUGCAGCUGAAAAGAUGACAUUCGAAGGUAUAGGGAUGCCCAUACUUCUUUGAAUAAAUCGAUCAUCAAAUGAUCGAUUUUCCUCGUUUUAAUAAAGUUUUACGAUAAUAUAGAGAAAAACAAAUUAUGCUUCGUU